CUGUUGUACCACCACAAUUCUUAGGCUCAUCCAACAUAGUGCAGAAAAUAAUUCGGCCUUCAAUAAGCCCAUAAGCGGCAUGGUCACGGAUGCCUAAAGAUUGGCAUUUGACUAGAGAUAGAAUUCUUUGCUGAUUCUAGGGGAAUUUCACAAUGUACAGAUUCUGUAUAUAAUUGAAUACAGCUAGUAGCUUGUAUCUAACUGAAAGCUUAGU
RNAcentral lists this small RNA (214 nucleotides) under Oryza sativa Japonica Group (Japanese rice). Its description in RNAcentral is "sRNA Os02g0226350". The record is from RNAcentral. Lineage: Eukaryota; Viridiplantae; Streptophyta; Magnoliopsida; Poales; Poaceae.